CAGGCUUCUAUGGCACUAGUAGGCCUUCUCCAGGUUCAGAUAAGUGGGGGAUGGUGCCCAAGGCUGGUACUCUGGUCAAGCCUCACCUGGGAACUGUUCUAAGCACUUUGACCUUGGGUUAUGGUCCUACUACAAUUCCCUUGAAGAGCUCACAGUGACAGGUAGAGAAGAGUCUGCGCCUCGAUCAGAUAACCAUUUCCUCUUCUAAGUGUUAAUAUGUGGUCUCAAAGAGGCUUUAACUAGGACUGGCCUCUGUCCAAACCCAUGAGAAGAAUCAAAUUCUAACAUGGACUUGGGGGAAAGCUACCAGUGGUUGCAGCAAGUAUGAAUAGUAAAAAUUUACACUUGCCUUCACACAAGGAAGCAAGAAUACUAAAUUCCAAUCUAUGUUAUAUCAUUGUACCAGCUAUGUGACUUUGGACACUUAGUCUUCAUGUAACAUCACUGUAAGAAAAUGUUUCUAUGGAUGACAAAGAUUGAAUGAGUCACUCCACAUAGAAGAUGAGUGGACUCCUUAAUUGCUGCUCACAGGCCAGAAAUAAACAUCAUCCCAACACAGUUUUUGACUUGCAAUAGACCCUCCACAUCUCUAGGUCUCCAGUGUUCAUCCGUGUAAUGAGAUCUUGAGCUAUGUGAUUUCUCGGGACUCUUCUGGGCUUGAUAUUCCAGGAUUCUAGCAAACUUAUUACAGCUGAAGUCAUGAAGGAAAUAAUGUGCAGUGUACACUAUGUGUGCAAACAGCAACAAAGUAGGCAUUGGGCAACGGAAGCCAAUGUGCCUGAAAUUCCUAGAGCCCCAGGGUUUAGCAGGGUAAAUACUGUCAUGCUUGUGUUUACCCUGAGCUGCAAACAGAUCAGAACAAAGUGUAAGGUACAAGAAUUCUCAACACAAUUAUGUGUUUCCCAAUAUGGGUUGGUAAUCUGUGGUGUUAUUUUACUUUCUAACAAAGAAUUCAUCUUGCUUGUCCUCUGGGAACACGGUAUCUUCCUAGGGAAAAAGUCUGCUCUCAGAGAGAAGAGUACUGGUGUUGUAAUGGAGCGGACAAUAUUUAAGCACCUGACCUAUGUUGGACAUUUUGUCUCAGCAAUGAGAAAAGUAACUGAGACAGAGCCACUCACUAUACCAUCUUGGAAAACCCUGAUUCCCACCUCCGCAUGUCACUGGGUCUGGUCAGCGCUCCCAGGGUACCGUUAGAAAAGCCUUUGAAGACGGAGCUGUUUCAUUCUCCAAGAGGGUGGAGCUUCCUGCUCUGAGUACUUGGAACUUGACCUGUUCCAAAGCUCUGCCAUACAGGCCUUCAGUACUGCAGAUCUGAGACAUAAAGACUACAUAUCACAGAAGGGCAGCUGUCUGUUUAUUAUUCUAACAUCACUUUUGUAAGGAUUAUAAACAUGCAUAAUUGGAACAGAAUUAUCACAAGUAAAUGUUAUUGCUAUGGACUGAAAACACAACACAAACAAAAGCAAUUCCAUUUGUGGGCGGAAAUGAUAAUAUAAGGCUAUAUAAUUUUUGUGUGCUGCAGUAAUUGUAGAAUGCAAAGAUAACAAAUACAACAUUACAGGUGGGCAUGAGAAUUGGGCAGAACAAAAAGUGAGUCAUAACUGUGAAGCCUCGCUUCCCACUUUGCCUACACAGAGACUGAAAGCAAGUGUCAGAAGUCAGUGCAUCUCACAUUGCAAAGUGCCUGUGACUCCCCCGGGAUCUUGCUAAAAUGCAGAUUCGGGCUCAGGGGGUCUAAGGCCAGCCUAAGAUUACACACUUCACAUGCUCUCUGGUGACACCACUGGUGCUGGCCCCUGGGCUACAGGUGGAGAAGCAAAGGACAGAGCAAGGCUCAAGCCAAAUCCUCAUUGGGCCAGGCCAGGGAGGCAGCCCAGUGCCUGAUGGGAAAGGCUCAGUUGUGUCCAGUCCCUGGGGCCAAGGAAAUCAAGGCCACAAUAAAGAUGACAGCAGGAGCUCAGAGCUGAGAUGCCAGGGCCCCAUGGCUAGCACCUCCCUCCCCUUAGGGAGCUCUGGAGCACAGGGGCCUGAGUCUGGGGUGGAGCUGGAAGUAACAGCUCCACCCUUGAUGGGAGGCCUUGGCAGAGACUCCAGCCAAGGUGCCCCCACCCGGGCAGCAGCGGAGCCAGCCAAGGCCCCGUGCAACUGGCCGAUCCCCGGGGGCUCUUAGAUUUCUCCUGAGGGCCAGGCCCCUUCUGCUUGGCCCACAGCAGCUGCUAAGCUUCUGGGAGUCCUGGGGUCAGGCAGGGAAGUCCUGGGAUCAGAGAGGGGCGAGGGGAGAGGGGAGGGGAGGAAAGGGGAGGGGAAGGGAGACAGGGCCUGCACCCUUGUGAAGGAGAGAGGGAGCAGAGGAGGAAAAUGGCCAUUAGUGCCACCUCGCAGCGCAGUGAGGUCUGUGUCCUCACCAAGGUCUCUGCAGAGCCUGGGAGGGGCUGGGCCCCUGCUCACUACACUCAGCCUCCUGUGCCUUCUUCCUUGGCCUCUGUCUCCCCUCAGAUGUCACCCUCAAACUGCCAGCUGCACGCUCGCUCUGUGGAACACCCUCUCUUCCUCCCCACUCUCCCUUGCUGGUGGCACUUACUACCCGCAAUUAUAUUUUUAAUAAUUUUUUCUUGUGAUUAUCAUUCUUGCACUUUAUCUCCCUUGCUCAUGUGUGUGUGUGUGCGCACACACAGACACACACACACACUCACUCAAAAAAACAAGCUUUUCAAGGCAGAGACUUAAUAUGCCAUAUUCUCCAUGGUAGUUCCUGCUAGAAUAGUUCCUGGUGCACGGUAAACUCAAAUGUAUUUGACAAAUGCACGAGUCCUCACAUGCACUAUGAGGUAGGUACCACUUCCAUUUUCAUGUGAAGAAACAGACACCUGGAGAGGUGAGGCAAUAGUACUAAUUCACUUUUCUCCUAGGCUUUUCACUGCUCAUUUAUAGGACCCUUCUGUUUUAUAUUGUUCUAAUUGCCACCACUGGAGAUGCCUGCCCAACUGAAAAUACACAAACUGCUGUUUCUUCCUCCUUUCCAAAAGAACCCUAGAUUUGUACAUGAGACCAUUCCUUCCACAUUAGGAAUCCUGUGCCUUGGGUGAAAACCCACCUUUUUAAUACCUAGGACACAUUUGCUUGGUCUGACAUAAUCUAUCCCCUUUCCCUCCAUAAUCAGUCCAGAAAUGGGAAUGACAAGUAAAAAACUGUCUAAGGGAUUCUGAGAAAAUUCUCACUUGUUCUUUUGACAAAGCUUCCACCAGUGAUCUGCCCCUUCCUUCUGAAUGAAGAAAAGCAGGUGUUGAGAUAGCAAACCAGCCCAUCUGGUAGUGUAAGGUCUCCUAUAACCCAGGAAGAGGCACCUACAGGAUGAAGUGUGUGGACAACAGAGUAGAAAAAUCUUGAGUGCCUGAUGACAUCAGUAAGUCACUGGAUCAGCCAACAGUAAAGGCCACUUCUACCUCAGGACUUCACAUUUUGUGAUUUAAUUACUUUCCUUAUUGUACGUGCUAGCUCUGGUUCAUUUUUGUUUUAUUUGCAUAGCACAAAUUGAUCCGUGCUCCUUGCUGAAGGAAGAUGGUGAAGAGAGGUCAGAAUCUGAAAUACAAUCCAUCAGACUCUGACUCACUGAUGUCUUCCUACGCCUGGCUCCUCCCACUGCCUUCCUGUCAUCCUAAAUUAUAGGGUGACAAAAACUAUCUCCUCUCGACUUCUUUUUUUUUUUUUUUUUGGUACCGGGGAUCAAACUCAGGUCCUUGUGCUUGUGCAGCAGGCGGUGAAACCACAGAGCUGAAUCCCCCCGGCCCCCUCUGGACUUCUUAAAGAAUGCUGUAGUUAUUGAAAGUGAAUCUAAACAGAGAAAACAAUCUCUCCAGCUUUACACAUCCAUCAACUCCUGCUGCUUUAGAGGACUUCACUUUCAAGAUGUUUGACUAAUAUUUCAUGUAUACCAUUCUUCCCUCCCAAAAUCCCACUGAAUAACUGUGAGAGGAAUGUUGAGAAAAAUAAUCCCAUAGCAACAUUAGAAAUCCUUGGAGUUCCAUCGUAGUAUAGAGCAUGUAGCAAAUUUGCAAGGUAGAAUUCAAUUGUGAUAAAAUAAAUGGUGGACCCUAACAGAAUUGAGCUAACUAAAGCUCCAUAUAGGGGAAUAAAAGACCUCCAAACUCAGAAAGACCUACAGAUUAGAGGUAGCUAUAGCUGAGAAUGGAAAAGGAUCAUAGAGAGUCAUAGAGUAAUUACAGUGUUGGGGAGCAGCUUUAUUGAUAGUCUGUUUUCAAAGCAACUGAUUGUGUCAUUUUUUCUGUUACAGCUGUGAGCUUGCUAUGAGAAAUUACCAGAAGAGACAUCACCACUAUAAUGAGUCAGUGCAGGGAAUGGGGAAUUUUCUUUAUGCUGUGGCACUGCACACAACUAUUAAUAUAGAUUGGUCAGGAUCAGUGAUUCUAAUCAUUGGCUGCACAUUUCAAUCACUUGGAUAUAUUUAACAUACCGACACUAACUAAUGGCCACCUUUGGGAGGGUAUUAACUGGAAAACGGCAAGGGAGGCUUCUCUAGGGGGCACAGAAAUGGUCUGUGACAGGCGGCACUGAAGCACAGCUCAUGAGCUAAAUUGGACACACUGCCUGUUGUAAACUUUACUGGAACACAGACUGUCUUGCACAGCCCAUGGAUGCUUUAGCUCUCCAACAUAGUUGAAUAAUUUUGCCUGGGACUGCCUGGACUGCAAACCCAAAAUGAGUUGGUCCUUCACAGAAAAAACGUUUCUGAACUUUGGCCUAUUUUCUUUAUGUAGGUCACUGUGCAUUGUCUGAGUAUGUAUUUAUUUAUAUAUGAGGUGGGGUAUCACUGUAUGGUCCAGGCUGGCCUUGAGCUUGCUAUCCGCUCAUGCUCAGCCCACUGAGUAGCUGGGAUCACAGGUGUGUGCUACCUCACCCUAUUGCCUUUGCAAUUUUUAUACUGUACUAUGUGUAAAAUAUACCUCAAAAGACUAAAAAGAAAGAAACUCUACUGCUUGGGUGCCGCCUCCAGAUAUUCUUACUUAGUUGAUCUGUGAUAAAUUCUGUAUAUCAAGAUUUUUUAAAUCACUCAAGUUAAUUCUAAUGAAUAAAUGAGGUUGUGAACUACACAGUUAGACCCUCAUUUAUAUCCAUGAACAUACAAAUAAGGGUCACCACAUAUUAAGGAAAAUAAAAUGCAUGAAAUCAAGAUACCAAGUGUACAGUAAGAAGAACAAAACCCCUGAGGAAACAGUCAAUACAGAAAACAGAAAGAACAUAAACAUAGGUGUCAUUAUUAGUCUCUAAAAGCAUAAGAAGGUAUCGUCCACUAAACAAGAGCAAUUAGCUCUUAAGAAGAAUCAAGACAGAUCAGAUCAGUUAUUUUGAGCUAACAAUAAUUAUUAUAGAAAAUCUCAGGAGUAUUGUUAAACAGCAGAAAGAUAAUAUAUGUAGCACAAAUUAGUGACCUGGGCGCAUUUUCUCCAGAUUAGAUACCCAAAAGCAGUUAGGAAAAUUAUGACAGAAAAGUUUGGAGACUUGGAGGACAGACCUAAAUGAGCAAAUGCCUAUCUAAUGGAAGUUCAGAAGGAGUCAACAGAGAGAAUAGAGGGAAUAACCAAAUAAAUAGUAAACUAAAAUUGCCCUGAAUUAGAGAAAGACUUGAAUUUAAAAAAAGGAAGUACUCAUGUAAAUUGCAGGAUGAAAAUGAGAAAGGCUUAGCUAAUAAACGUAGACUAUAUUAAACUGGUAGAUCCAAGAGAGAGCUAGGAAGAAAUGUGUAUAUUACUAAGUAGACUACAAUAUGUCCUUAUUACUGUGACCAAGACAAGCUGAGUAUGGAAGUGUGCGCCUAUAUAAUCCCAGCACUCUGGGAGGCUGAAGCAGGAGGGUCACAAGUUGGAGCUCAGCCUGGGAUUUUGUGACUUAGGGAGACUCUGUCUCAAAAUAAGAAAAUAAAAAUGGACUGAGGAUGUAGCUUAGCAUGAAGGCCUUGGGUCAAAUCCCCACUACCCUCUUGCCAAAGUGGCAUUCAGCUAGAAUGUCCAAAUGGAACUCAGCUAUACAGGAAAUGCAAAUGAAAACUCAAAAUUGAGUAGUAUUUGGUUGGAGAUCUUAAAACGAGAGUAGUGGUCAUUGUUAACCCAAUCUCUGACCCAUUCGCGGAUGAACCUUUGACCUGGACUGUAGACGUUCUCAUCCCAGAUGGGAAUUGACCCUUGGACUGAACCAUGGCCAGUUUCUGAGAACAUUGUCACCACCUGCUGACCUUCCAUAUACUGGAUCCCUUUCCCAGACUGCCCCAAAACUGAAACUGCACCUAAUCACUUUCUUAUAAGACAGCUUAACUUUUGUCCAAACCGAUCAUAAUUCUCGACUAACAAGUGAUGUAAUUGUGGUGUAAAACUAUAAAUAUGACUGCCAUUUUGUAAAACCUCCAGGCACAUUUGCAAGAUUGCUUGCAUCUGUGUCUCCCAGAAUGCAUUCCUAGUUAGCCCCUAAUGAAAGCAAUUUUCGCUUGUCUCCAUGAGGUUGAUUUUAUUCUCAGCUGACAAAUAUCAGCCUAGGUGUCCUAAUUUUAGAUACGUUGUUUAUGCAGUUUAUAUUGUAACCAGAGAAGCCACGUAUAUGUAAAAUAACCAGUAAUUAGGGUAAGAAAAUAAAGUGAUCUAACUCUCCCUCAGAGAAAGGCCAACCCAAGAGGUUUGGAAGGGAUUGUGUAAUGAAGUGAGGAUAAGAUCACAGGGGUUAUUUCCCAGUUAAAAAAAAGGGAUUUACUGGGACUAUGAGGACUUGUAGACAUAAUUUGUUUCAGCACACUUAGGGCAUGCUCAGAAAAUCUUACUGUAUCUUGGGAUCUGGGUUAAAGAGGCAAGCCAUAGAAGAUAAUUUACAACCACAUAGAUAAUUAGAGAACUCUGAAGAGAUUUAUCAUCAGAGAUGUAUGUUAUCCUUCAAGGCCAUGACGAUAAUCCUGGAUUGUAAAGAUGAGAUAGUCUUAUCUUUCCCCAUGGAGAAAUUUAUGUACAUUCCAAAAUGAUAGUAGGAACACCAGAUCCUUCCCAAGUAUGGAGGAUUAUCCUCCUUCCUUUCAGCAGACAGACCCCUCCUAUAUACACUUCAGUGUUCCUUGCUUGCAAUACAAAUUCUGGCAUGUAAGGUGGCAUUGAGGUUGCCUCUGGUCAAGCUAAAUGUAAGAAAGUGGGGCACAGAACAUCCACAGAGUUGUUACUUGCUUGAAAGUAAAUAAUAAUCUCUGGUCCAGACAUUUAGUGUGUGCAGUUAUUAUGAUAUUAAUAAAUAGGGCUAAAAUAAACGUAACAGGCUGCAAACUCAAGCUUCUUCUCAUCUCAUGAAUAUGUUUAUAAUAUGUAUAUAGAUAUUCCUUGUUUAAUGUCCUACCUGUUUAAUAACUGUUCAGGCCUAAGACCUGGUGCUUGGACUUACAACUCAUCUUUUUUGGGCGGUCAGUUCUGAACAUUUUUUUGUAAUGAGACUCAAUAUCUUUUUGUGCAGUGCACUUUGUUUAUACAGUACUGUAAUAUUUGCUGAUUGUACUGUAUAGUAUGUACUAUAGUUUUAUAUUCCAUUAUAAAUUACAGUACUGCAUGUAAGAGUUAUGCAACUAAAAGUAAAGCCAUCAAGUUGGAGUUUCUUUUCACUAUUUAUUUGUUCUGAAUACUGUAAGGUACAUACUACCUACAAUCCUCAUUUCUCAACCAAUUCAUUUAAUGACCUUGUCCCAGAAACAAAACUCGGUCUUUAAACAAAUAGUGUCUUAUAUGUAGAUCAGCAGAAUGUUUCUGUAUUUAGAUCUUUGAUCUAUUUUGACUUUAGUUUAGUACAUGGUGAGGAAUAUAUGUCCAGAUUCAACCUUCUGCAUGUGAAUAGCCAGUUUUCCCAGCACCAUUUGUAAGAGGCAGUUUUUCUUCCAGCAUGGUUUUGGUCCCUUUGUCAAAGAUCAGGUAGCUGAAUAAGAUAACAUAGGUAAAACUCUUGAAGACAUAGGCAUAAGCUAGGAGUUUCUGAACAGAACCCUAAUUGCACAAGAAAUAACAUAAAAAAUCUACAAAUAGAAUUAUGUCAAAUAGAAAAGCUUCUGUAUAGCAAAAGAAACAACCAACAGAGUAAGGAGGCAACCUACAAAAAGGGAAAAAGUUUUGCCACCUACUCCUUGGACAGAGGACUAAUAUCUAGAAUAUAAAGAACUCAAAAAUUUAGACCCCCCAAUCAAAAAUGGGCAAGUGAAAUGAAUACACACUUCACAGAAGUACAAAUGGCUAAGAAAUAUAUGAAAUUUUUUUUCACCCUCCUGGCCACUAGAGAAAUGCGAAUUAAAACAGCACAGCAGAAAGAAUGACCACCAUUGAGAAAUCAAACAAUAACAAAUACUGGUGAAGCUGCGGGGGAAAAAAGAACUCUUCUCCAUCGUUAGUCGGGAUAUAAACUAGUACAACCUUUAUGGAAGUCAGUUAUGGAAAUUCCUCAAAAAAUGAAAAGUAGAAAUUCCACUCAACCCAUCUAUUUCCAUUCUAUGCAUCUUCCUUAAAGAGUUAAGAAAUCAUGUUACUGUGACAUGUGCAUACCCAUGUUUAUAGCAACACAACUCAUAGUAGCUAAAACUCGGAAGGAGUCUAUAUUCCAUCAACAGACGAAUGGAUAAAGAAAAUGUGGCAUUCAUACACAAUGAGGCACUACUCUGCCAUAAAGAACAAUAAACUUGAGUCAUUUUUAGAAAAAUGGAUGACCCUUGAAACUGUAAUGUUAAGUGAGACAAAUUAGGCACACUAGCUUAAAUAUCUCAUGUUUUCUAUUGUAUGAGAAACAAUAAGUAAAGAGCAAAAUAAAACAUAAUAAGGAAUAGGGAGAUGAAUCUUUUGCAAAAGAGAAGAGCACCAAAAGAUAGGAGGGAGGAGAAUGAGGAGGGGAAGGAGCUGAAAAAAGAAUUCAGAUGCAUUAUCUACAUUACCACAUCCUGACAAGCAAUGUAAUCGUUUUUUUACAGAAAAUAUGUACUAACAAAAAAAAAAUGAAAAUUGAAAUUAAAAAUAUUUGUCCCUGGCAAAAACAUGGGUAAAUCAGAUGCUUUUGUAUGUAUAUUAUCUCACAUUGCCUACAGCUGCUUUACUACACUGGAAAAAACCUUGGACCUGAUAGGUGGUAUUCUCCUGGGGAACGUGUGAAUUGUCCUGGGUAAUUAAUAGUAAUUGUGACACUUUGCUGCUUUAAUUUCUUAGCACAUUCCUUACUACCUCUAAAGAGACAGGUUUGUGUAUCCACCCAAACAACAUGGAAUAGCUGAAAUGUGAAGUAUGAGAAAUGAAAAGAAAACAAAAGACCAAAUGCCAUCAGUUAGGUUAGGGUUGUUGUGAUAGUAAAUUGCAAGUCAGAGAAUUUAACCCAACAAAGGAUUGUUCUCUCCUGCACUAUGGGUCCACUGCAGGUCAACACAGGGACUCUGUUUAGUGCCAUCAUGCAAGGAUCCAGGGUGACAGAGACUUACCAUAACUGUUUCCAUGAUUACAGUAUGGUAAAAGCAUGUGGUGAAUUGGACUCUUAGAGCUUCCAUCUCUGUGUGAAAUGCAUAACUUUGUCUUAUCACAUGGCCACACAUAACUUCAAAGGGUAGAAAAAGCAAUCCCAGCACUUGCUUAAGAAUAAAACUGGGUCUUCCUUUCUUAUCACAAAAUAUCCUCCUUUCUUCAUGCAGAAUUGAUUCAAUCCAUCCCCAUGAGGAAAGAACACAAAAAUCCCUUUCUAUCCUCUUUCACUCUCAAAAUCUAGGAUCUCUGAGUGGUGUGUGGAAAUUUCUUUAUGUGUUCUGGUUGAUCCAGUUUAUAAUGCUCUGUUCUGUCUUAGUCCAGAGGACUAUAAAUGAAACAGAAAAUUUCUUUGCCCCCUCAUAUGCAAUAUUCAGUGAUGUUAUAGGGAAAAACAACCAUAACAAACAAUCCACUCUAGAGAAGAGUAGGAAUCACAUCUCAGUCAAUGGGGCAGACCUGUUUUGUCAUGGUAAUGUACCAACUCUAGCCACUGGUUCUAAUUAGUCCUAGACAAUCUAGUCUAAAAUAGACUACAUUUUACUAUAAUAUUAACCUAAAAUCAUCAGUGAGUUGAAAUAGGAGAUUUGUUUCUUUAUCAUGCUGUCUGUUCAAUUUUAGGCAGGAGGGAGGUUCUGCUUACUGUAGUUAGUCAAGGACCAGGUUUACAGAGGUUCAACAAAUGUGGACUUCCACAACUACUAUUGCAGAGUGAAGAGAAUGUGGUAAAUAUUUGGACAACAGCAAUUAUGACUCCCCAGGAGGAACCUAGACAUAUUGUAGAUCCUUUUUCAAUUUCCAUGUAUAAAGGAAAAAUAGUAUAUGACGUACAAAAAUGUGAAUCUGAAUGUUAUGAUAGGUCUCAUGUACAAUGCAAGAUAUUAGAAACAGUGGUGUGACAUCUGCAAACUGUCCAGGGAAAAAUAUUUUUAAAGUAGAGUAUCAUAGCCAGAAUGACUAUUAGUCAGGUAGGCAAAAUGAAGGCCUUCUCAGGAAUACUGAGACUCAGGAAAUUGACAACCCUUGCAACAUCAAUGAAAGGAGUGUUCUGAGACAUAGUUUGGCAAAAAAAAAAUAGAAUCUAAGGUAAAAGGAGUGCAAAAUAGUUUAAAAAUGAUAUGAUUAUAUGAUACUGUGAGGGUUAAGGUGGAAUGGGAACUGGAUUAGAUUUUGGGGACCGAUUCAGGGGAAGAGUAAAGCGUACUCGGAGGUGCGUCUGAGUGGGUCUUAAAAGCACAACCUUGGGGUCUAUAGCUGGUCCCUGGCCCUUUCCUCUCUGGCACAUUGCCCUGCUCUGCUUCUUGGCUACCAUGAAUUAGGGAGCUUUGCUCUAUCAUGCCCUUUUGCCAUGAUGUUCCUGCCUUGCAGCCUGCCCCACAUGGACUGAAUCCUCUGAAACCGUGAGCUAAUUUAGACCUCUCCUCCUUUUAGUUGUAGGUACUGGGUAUUGUGCCCCAGUGAUGGGAAAGCUAACUAAUGUGGAUACUUGCCAAAUCCCAGUAUGGAAGACUUUAUUCGGGAUCAUUAACAUAAAUGCCGGACCAUUGCAACACUGUCCUGCAGUGAAGAAGAGUCAUUGAAGUCAAUAGGGAAUACAAUAUGAGCAAGAG
Molecule: long non-coding RNA, 11128 nt
Organism: Heterocephalus glaber (naked mole-rat)
Lineage: Eukaryota; Metazoa; Chordata; Mammalia; Rodentia; Bathyergidae
Source: Ensembl